RNAcentral lists this ribosomal RNA (188 nucleotides) under uncultured Chloroflexota bacterium. RNAcentral's name for it is "uncultured Chloroflexi bacterium partial 16S ribosomal RNA". It matches the Rfam family "Bacterial small subunit ribosomal RNA", at positions 1194 to 1382 of the family's 1533-position model. The record is from RNAcentral. Lineage: Bacteria; Bacillati; Chloroflexota.
CAUGGCCUUUAUGUCCUGGGCCACACACACGCUACAAUGGAUGGUACAAAAGGUGGCAAUGGAGCGAUCCGGAGCUAAUCCUUAAAACCAUCCCCAGUUCGGAUUGCAGGCUGAAACUCGCCUGCACGAAGUCGGAGUUGCUAGUAACCGUAUAUCAGCAUGUUACGGUGAAUACGUUCUCGGGCCUU